This is a long non-coding RNA of Cyprinus carpio (common carp), 1466 nucleotides long. The record is from Ensembl. NCBI's taxonomy places the organism in Eukaryota, Metazoa, Chordata, Actinopteri, Cypriniformes, Cyprinidae.
CUGGUUUUUUCAGCAGGGCACAAGGCGUUCGGAUGAAGAAAAAAGAGGAUAAAGGAGCUUAGUUGGAUCAGAUCGAAAUUCAUCAGCAGUCAAGUGAUCGCGGUCGAGCUUACAAUCGGGGCUUUUCCAUCACUUCUUAUGGGAAUCGGAGUUGACUAGCUGAAGCGAUUUUCUCUCAAUCCAGGCCGACGAGACACCGAUAUUGCCACACAGUGUCCACUUGUGCUUCUGCUACAUUGAUGCCAAAAGCAACGUACAGGAGAGUUUUUUUUCUUUUUUUGUUAAGUUUAUUCCUCUGGGUUCAACUACAGCUGAAUCGAUCACUACAGCACUAAAAGAGCUUCUUGCUGUCAUCCUUCCAGAGGAUCAGAAGAAUAAACUCAUCUCCCAAGCGUAUGAUAGAGUCAGCGUGAUGAGGGCUGCCACUGCAGGUGAUCAUAGUAAGAUGCAAGAUGUGGACCCAAAUGCCCAUUACAUCCACUGCUAUGCACAUCAACUCAAUCUGAUCAUGCAACAGGCCACUUCUCACAUACCCAAAGUGAGAUUUCAAGUUUUCUGCAACUUUUCCACAACAUCAUGUCACAUGUGGACCUCCUCUAUGCCAAACUCCAGAAGAAGGACAUAGAUUCAGUUCACAUUAAGAGGAGCAUCCAGCAGUUCCAGCAGGACAUACAGAAGAUCAGAAAUUCUCUCCAUUCCCUGGUUGACCAAAGCAGUGAAGGUGGUUCUCAACCGAAGAGGUGGCGGUCACUCAGUCCAGAGGUCCAUGAACGGAUCGCAGCAGAGGUAAGUUUUUGUUUGCAGUCCAUGUUAAUCUGCAGGAUUUCAUAGAAAGCUAUCAGGGGAAACUAUCAGAAAGAAAAGUUCAACUGCAUUGAUUCAUUUACCCUCCACGGGCACUUGUUAAUAUCUUCUCACGUCUUUGAUGAUUUUAUAAUAUUUUUGCUUAAAUAUUGUAGCAAAGAAUAGAUCCUUAAGUUAAAGACAUAUCUAAAUAAUAUAAAUACUAAUAAUAAUACAAAAUUUCUCCCCUGCAGGGUGGCCGCAGGUCCUUAAAAAGUCAUAAAUGUAACUUGUUUAUAUCUGUAGAUACGCUGUGAUAUAUGUAUGUGGGAUUAAUGUGAGGAGUAUAUCUUACUGAAAUAUUUAAGAAAACAUAUUGUAAAGUCAUCAAAGACAUGAGAAGACAUUUACAAUUACCCAUAGAAGGUAAAUGAAACAAUACAGCUAAAUUGAACGUAAAUAUUCUAUUUAUUUAUUUUUGAUCGCUCCCUCUUAUAGAUAUUUAGAUUGGUAAUACUUUUUUUUUUUUACAGUAUAGCCAAAAGUGUCAAUAAUAAGGGUCCAAGCACAGUGGCUUUUGUAGAUGAUACAGUUAUACAAUGCCCAUGUCUCUUUUCAAAUAAUAAUCUUUAGGUGUCUCGUUUUAGAAGUAUUAUUUCAUUUAAUACAUUAAAAUUAAUCAA